RNAcentral lists this long non-coding RNA (8783 nucleotides) under Phaseolus vulgaris (common bean). RNAcentral describes it as "long non-coding RNA (PVUL_LNC004168)". The record is from RNAcentral. Lineage: Eukaryota; Viridiplantae; Streptophyta; Magnoliopsida; Fabales; Fabaceae.
UAAAAUAUCUUUCUACGUUAAUUUGAAAUCUCCAAAGAAACUUUCAUUGAAAAUUUAUCUACACUUCUUCACUUUUCUUUUCGCUAUUAUUUUAGAUUUUUUAGUAAUAUGAUUAUGUGAUUUUGGUCUAUCAAAUUGUAGUUAUUAUGAUUAAGUAUUUCAACUUUUUAUCUUUCGAAACUAGGUCCUUCUCAAUUUCAUAGAUACCAAGGAAGUCAUCAUGUAGAGGGACCUAACUAUAAAUAAGCAAGAAAUAAGAAGUAAAAAUAGCAUCAAGUUUUGAUUUUAAUUAUUUAAGGGUUGAUUGAAUUUUGGUGUAUACUGGAACCAAAACAAACACUGAAAGCUUUUGCUGUUUUAUAUUAUUUGCAAGGCUGAUUUUGAAGAUGCACUGUCACCCAGCUGGGAAAAUGUUAUGAGAGGGCAAGUGAACUUGAAGGAUGCUGUUGAUGGGACCAUAAGCUUUCAUGACAAAGUAAGAAACAGGGUUUACAAGCUCAGUGAUGACACAGCAAAGCUUUUUGUGCGACCAAGAGGUUGGCACCUACCCGAGGCACAUAUAUUCAUUAUGGUGAACCUGCAACCGGUUGCCUUGUUGAUUUUGGCCUCUUUUUCUACCACAAUCACUCAGAAUUUCGGCGCACUCAAGGUGCAGGCUUUGGCCCUUUCUUUUAUCUUCCUAAAAUGGAGCAUUCAAGGUAAGAACUAUGUAUUAAGAACCCUCUAUAACAAAGGUCAAAUUCUAGUAAAAUUAACCAUUUCAGUCAAAAACCAACGAAAAUUGCAUGAUAUAUGUAGAUUUUCCGAAAUUCUAACUCUGAUUUGAGAACCAUAUAAAAAACAUUUUAAUGACUUUGUCGAAGUUUGUCUUAUAUUAGUGAAGAGUAACAUCAGAAGUUUGUGAUUGCAGGGAAGCUAAGAUAUGGAACAGCGUGUUUGAGAAGGCUGAGAAUGUAGCAGGCAUCGAAAGAGGAAGCAUAAGGGCGACGGUUCUGAUAGAAACACUUCCUGCAGUGUUUCAGAUGAAUGAAAUUCUGUAUGAGCUGAAGGAGCACUCGGUGGGUCUGAACUGUGGGCGAUGGGAUUACAUUUUCAGUUAUGUGAAGACCUUCCAAGCUCACCCAGAUCGCCUCCUACCAGAUAGGGUGCAGGUUGGCAUGACUCAGCACUUCAUGAAGAGUUACUCUGAUCUCCUCAUCAGGACCUGCCACAGGCGCGGUGUGCACGCUAUGGGAGGAAUGGUAUGUAAUGGAACUACUCUGAUUCACAUGAAUAUUUGUUUUCAAGCACUUCUAUAACCUCUAAGCAAAAGGGUUUAUAUAGAUUUAAACGUUGAAGUUGUUCAACAGGCCGCGCAGAUUCCAAUCAAAGAGGACCCAGUGGCUAAUGAGUUAGCACUGGAACUUGUGAGGAAGGACAAGCUUAGAGAAGUGAAUGCAGGGCACGAUGGGACUUGGGCUGCACACCCUGCUCUCAUUCCAGCUUGCAUGGAGGUUUUCAACAACAAAAUGGGCAAUGCUCCUAACCAGAUACAUACAAACAAACGUGAAGAUGCUGAAAACAUAACCGAGCAAGACCUAUUGCAGGUACCAAGAGGAUCCCGCACCAUGGAAGGUCUCAGAUUGAACACAAGGGUGGGGAUUCAGUACGUGGCAGCAUGGCUGAGUGGAAGCGGUUCUGUGCCGCUUUACAACCUGAUGGAAGAUGCUGCGACUGCUGAGAUUAGCCGGGUGCAGAACUGGCAGUGGCUCAAGUAUGGUGUGGAAGUGAAUGGGGAUGAAGUUGGAGUGAAAGUGAACAGAGAAGUUUUUGGUAGGGUGGUUGAAGAAGAGAUGGCAAGGAUUGAGAAGGAAGUGGGAAGAGAGAAGUUCAGAAAGGGGAUGUAUAAGGAGGCUUGCAAGAUCUUCACACGCCAAUGCACCUCCCCAACACUUGAUGAUUUUCUUACUCUGGAUGCCUAUAAUUACAUAGUCCUGCAUCACCCCAAGGAAUCAUCAAAACUUUGAACUGAGAAAAGGGUUGCUUCGUUAUGCUUAGUUAUUGGAUCAUUUGAAUUCUGUCUCGUCUACAUAACUCCUCCUUCUCUUAUUUUCAGUUCAUCAGUUUAUGGAAAGAGACAUUCUAUAUGAUUUUUAUUUUUCAACUCAAUUAAGAUAUUUUAAAACAGAUAGACAGAGUUUUUUAAUAUAUAUAUAUAUAUAUGUAUGUAUAUUCUUGCAGUACAAUAAAUUAUUUUUAUGCUUGACAAUUUUGAAUUUUAAGUUAUGUGUCAAGAUUUGAAAAAGGGAAUAAAAGGAAAUAUUUGACCGCAAUAUUAUGUUUCGAAGAAGUAAUAUGCUAUUGAAAAAUUUAUUUUGUUCCUCAUAAUUCUGCCAACAAAAUUAUUUUAGACAAAAUAAUUUCGGUCUUCAGUUUAAAAUUAUGAUUUUAUCCUUACUUUUAAUUAUGGUUUAAUGCUUAUAUUAAAAAAAUGAAGUUUUGAUUGAAUUCUUACUAUUUCAUAUGUUUAUUUCUUUUAUUUGAACCUAGAUCUAGCAUAUUUGUGUAAAGUGUCAUUACGAAAUAAUUUAAUUAAAUAAAUAUAAAAGGUAAAAUAGAGCAUAUAUAGGAACUAAACAAAAUCAAAAUUAUGAAUUUUCUAAAAAUUGAACUCUAUAAUCGUGUGAAAAAAAAAUACAAAGACUAAAAUUAUUUAUCAAGAAUUAAAAAUUUAUUCAAAAUUACAAUUUAAGUCGUAACAUGCUGUGUUGUAAUAAAGUAAAACAGAAACCAAAAUUCAUCUUAAGGGAAGGAAGGCACAUAACCCCAGCCUGGUCAGGCACACACCAAGGUUGAAAAAUCGGAUUGGCCCAAACUUCUUAUGGCCCAAAAAAAUUACAAACUAAAAAUAGUAGAAUUACAAACUAAAUAAAAAAAAUUACAAACUAAUUGUCUAGGAUUUUGAAUUAAAGAAAACGAAAAAUUCAAAAAUAAAAAGUAUUAUUUAUAUUUCUAGGAUUGUUUAAAGUUUAGUGUUUUGUAACAUAUAUUUUAUAAUUUUCUCAAUAAAAAAGUCUAUAGUGACCGAGAGAGAUAAAUAUAAUUAGUUAAACUCUAUUAGUAGUAUUAUAUAUGAUUAUUUUGUAUUUAGUUUAUUUCUCAUAAAAUUUGUGUUAUUUUCGAAGAGCAAAUACUUGAAUUUUGUAUAUUAAGAUGUAUUUGGAAGUAUGGUUGGAAAACUUAUUUAUUUAUUUUUAUUUGUAAUCAAAUCGUCUUUAAUUUUAUUUUAUUUUUAUCUAUUUCUUUUUAACUUACAUUGUCUUCGACAAUCUUUCUAUGUUUCUAUCAAAUAUCUCACGCUUCCAACACGACACGCUCAUAGAAUCAUACAUAGGAUUAUCAAUACAGUUAAAUAUAAAAUAUUCAAUAAAAAUAAGUAAAAAACAUUUUUUUUCAUUUUCAUUUACUUAAACCGAAUCAUUUCUUUACCAACCAAACAGAAUCAGAAUCUGAUGUUGGCCCCCCAAAAUAUCCUACUAAAGGCCAAUGUCUCUAUCAUGCUCCAAUUCAAAAACAUUGGACGUUGUGAAGAAGAGUAGUACAUUUUUGUCACAACCACUACCCUGUUAGUGCACACUGGGCCCCACCACCAGCACAUGGUUUUCACAAACCCACUCUCACUCCUUUUACAUCAAACAGAACCUCACACUCCAUUUCCUACUAUAUUAAGAUAUCAUCAAUGCCAUAUUUUUUAUACCCUACCCUAAGAUUCUUUACUUAAACACCAUACAUAAUUAAAUAAUCAUAAUACUUACAAUUACUAAUAAAAAAAUUUAAACUUAUCAAAAAAUUAAAAUGUAUUCACAAACAUUAAGUUUCGUUUUAAUGUUAGUUUUUAUUUAAUUUAAUUAAUUUUAUUCAUUUAAAACUGUUACCAGAAAAAAAUAUGAUUUUUAAAAGGUAAUUAGACAUACUUCUUCAAUUACUUAAUUUAAAUUCAUAAAAAAAUUAUUUAACAAUUAAUUAAUUAUACAAUUUAUUUAAAAAUAUAAAAUAUUAGUCAAUUGUAAUUAGAAAUUAUUUUAAAUAAAUAAAAAUAUAAAAAAUAAAUAACCUAAGUGUGAAAUGGGGGACCAUAAACAUAUUUCUCUCUUUCUAUAAUAAACUAUGCUACUUAAGUAAAUAAUUAUUCUCUAGGAUUAUUAGAUCAAUAAUGUAGUAUUCACGGGUGAAAUACAUGGGAGAAGACCCCUUACACUGCACAAAAACAUUAACAAUCAAAACUAUUUGUUUGCAUUCAACUUUUUUAAAGCUUAGAAAAAAAGUGCAGAUAUUAUCAGGCUCUACACAUGUCCUUAUCAUUAACAACAUAGACAGCAAUUGUAGAUAUUAUUACACCUCUAAUUGAUAUCAAUAAUAUCUAUCCAGCUUUUAAAUAAACACCAUAAUUAUGAAAUAUUGAUUUGAAAUAUUUUUUUCAUUUAUACUGAGUUUACUAGCUCUGAGUGAAAAUUAUUAUAAUUUCUCAACCUGUUAAUUAGACAUUUCAUGUACUAUCAUUCCUUUUUUUAUAAAUAUAUAAUUAAAACUUUAUUAAUUAACGGUAUUUUUAAGUUUAAAUAUCUAUAUUUUAUUAAUUAACGGAAUUAACGGAUGAUAACGGCUGAUAACAGGUAGUCUGAUAAGUUUAAAAAACACUCGUUAGGAUAGGUUUAAAAUGAUUCUAUACCAUAAUACGAAUUGAACUUUAAGUCUAACUCAAUCCCAUAAAACCAACAUAUGAGGUGAGGUUUGCGCCCACUUAUAUACAAUAAAAUGUCAUAAUCUCUAAUCUAAUUGACGUGGAAUCUUCAACAUUUUCAUCCACACUUUGAACCAGGUUAAUAAAGUUGAUUUUAAUUAAAUUUAAUUUUGAGAUGAUAAAUAUAUAUUUGGCAUCACGUCACAAUGUGCAUAUAAUUAUCAGGAGUUUCAAUCAAAACAUAAUUGCUUCACUUUCUUAUGUUUUGUUUUGAAAUAAACAAUAUAGUGUAGAGUAAAGUCUAGUUGAUUAAUAAUAUAUGUUUGUAUGUUUUUUUAUUAUAAAAUUCUGCUGUUAAUAGUAAAAUUUAAUAUAGUUUGAAGUAUAAGUAAUAUAAGUUCUUUGUUGCAUUUAUUUUUCAUUGAUUUGAUUUGUCUUGUUUUGUGAAUUAUUUACUCUCACUCCUAAAAUGAUAAAUCUUUUUCCACAACCAUUUUACAAUACUUAUUUUCUAAUAUUAAAAGAUGAUAAAGAAGGCAGGUCUACGAAGAUAGAAUCACUCAUCUUCAUCUAUCAUAAAUAUACAAAUUGCUUAACUUCUAGUUAUAAUGAACUAGAAAAUAGCUUGUGUAAGUGAUAUAUUUAAAUAAUAUAUUAAUAUUUUAUUAUUAUAAUAAAAAUAAUAUAUAAAUAAAAAAUAAGUCAUCUAAGAUUUAUUUUAAAACAAUUAUCAUUUUUCUAUAAAGUAAUUUUUUUCCUUCUUCUAUUGUCUAAUUUUCUGAACUCAUCUGUCAUCAAACUCGUCUAGUUAGAUUCUUGACAGAAAAUAUUACAAUAUUAUCCAAUCAGAAUCUUAGUUAUGAGUAAGUUCAACUUUAUUCCUUUUUGCUUUGAGUCUUUAAGUUUUUAGGUUUUUUUUUAAAUGUUUUCCAUGUAGUAUUUUUAAUUUCAGGAAUAGUUACGGUUGAUACAGAGUCCUAGUGACAUAGUUAGAUAUUUGAUCAGAGACUAUGUGGUACAUGUUGAGCUAUCCUUGGACUUUAUAAGAUUGAAACUAUUUGUGAGCACAUCUACUUAUUCUAAAUGAAGGAAAACUAGUUUUAAAUUUCAAAUCUUCUUGCAUGCUUUUUUUUAAGUAAAGUAGUAUACUAAUUGAAAUUAAUUGUGAUAUUGUUGAUUUUGUUAUUUUUGUAUAGCAUAUGUUGAUUUGGAUUUGAAUAAGUAUUAAAGGUGUUGUUUGAGAUUAAAAGUGUUGAAUGGUAGUAUGAAAUUAUUUGAAUUGCAUUAUUAUUCAAUUAAGGUGUAAGAUUUGUAAGUAUUGGUUGUUUGAAUCUGGAUGAUUGAAAUUGAUUUAGAAAUGAUGAAUAUAUAGUUUGAUAUAAUAACUAUAUGGAGUACAUGUUCAACUUUGAGGAAAGAAAUGUUAAUUUGGUAUGUAUCUUUGAUAAAAUUUAAGUUGGAGUAUAAUUUUUGUUGAAAAUCUUGAAUUAUAGUAGUUUUAUAUAGUUUUUAAUUUGCAACUUUCGUUUAAGUGAAAGAUCAUUGCUCAAAUUAGAAUGGUGCAGUGAAUUUUGGGUUGUUCCCAAACUUAUUUUUCAAGCAAAAAUAUGAUGAAAAAUAGAGUGUUUUCGAAUCCAUUUUUUAUUAAAACGAAAAAAAUAUCGUAAAAAUAAAAAUGGGAUAAAAUUUAUAAGUGUUCUCAUAUUGAUUUUUUUUCUCAAACAACAAAAUUUCCGUUUAUACGAAUAUUUUUGCUUGAGCUAAGGAAAACUUAAAUUUAAGAUUGUGUAUAUUAUUAUUUAUUGUUUUUAAUUAAAUUUUAUGUGAAUUUUAAUUAUAUAUUUACAUAACCUGAAAUAAUAUUUAUUUUAUUUUUCAUAAGUCUAAAAUUUAAAUAAUACUUUUAUCAUAAAUAAUUUUUUUAUUUUUAAAAUAUUUUCUUUCUUUUAAAAAAUUGCAAAAAAAAGGAAAAGCAGGUCAGGAACCAAUUUUAAUUUUAUCAAAAAUCAUUAUUCACACUUGAUAAUUCGGUUCUUCUCAAACCCAAUUAUAAUCUUGUACAAUAACCAUGCUUAGUUUAAAAAAUAAAAUGUGCAAAAUAAGUAUUUGGUUUAUUUUGGUAAAAAAAUCCAAAAUCCAAAAUACAGAGUAAAAGAUACCAACAUGAUCCUAGAGAUACUGAAUCUGUAGUUUUUAAUUACAGACAUUAUUAACAUGGAAAGUAAACAAGUUGUACGGACAAAUGAUUGAUUAAACCUAAUUUCUACCAUGCUUUUGCUCUCAUAUCACAUUCUACCUUCGCAGGAGCAAUACCUUGUUACCAUUGCAGGAAGAAAGAAAGGCCAUGGACCAGGGAACCCAUCCUACACCAGCAGCAGCGACUGAAUCUUACUAUGAUGUACCAGAUGGAGUGGAUAUUCUGGGAAGAUACGAUGAAGAGUUUGCGAAAAUCCUGACAAAAGAUGCUUUGAAAUUUGUUGCUGACCUGCAACGUGAGUUCAGGAGCGAUAUCAAGUAUGCACUAGAGAGGAGAAAAGAGGCCAAGAAGAGGUACAAUGAAGGGGCUCUUCCGGGGUUUGAUCCUGCCACUAGCCACAUAAGAGAAGAGGAAUGGGUAUGUGCACCUGUUCCACCAGCUGCUGCAGAUAGGAAAGUGGAGAUCACUGGCCCUGUUGAUAGAAAAAUGGUCAUCAAUGCUCUCAACUCUGAAGCUAAAGUCUUUAUGGUUAGUACAACUACACUCUUCACUACUAUGCCUUUCAUUUCACCUAAAGUUGUUAAACCAUAAUUGAGUUGAGAACUUGUACAUAUGAAAGAACACUAUAAAAAACUUCUGCUGGUUGUGGGUUUUUAUUUUUAAUGGUACCAAUUUGAUUGAGAUGGUUAGAACUUAAAAGAUUAAAAUUCUGCACUGAGAAUAAAGAAGUAGAACUGAGAGUGUGAUGAAGUCUUCUCCUUUUUUUAAUUGCACAAGGGUUGAUUGAAUUUGGUUUAUCCUGGAAUCAUAGCACUGAAAGUUGUUGAUGUUUUUCUCAUUUCUAAGGCUGAUUUUGAAGAUGCACUGUCACCCAGCUGGGAAAAUCUUAUCAGUGGCCAAGUGAACUUGAAGGAUGCUUUGGAUGGGACCAUAAGUUUCCAUGACAAAGUAAGAAACAGGGUUUACAAGCUCAAUCAACAGACAGCAAAGCUUUUUGUGCGACCAAGAGGUUGGCACCUCCCCGAAGCACAUAUUCUGAUUGACGGUGAACCUGCAGCUGGUUGCCUGGUUGAUUUUGGCUUCUACUUCUACCACAACCACUCAGCAUUUCGACGCACUCAAGGUGCUGGUUUUGGCCCCUUCUUUUAUCUUCCCAAAAUGGAGCAUUCAAGGUAAGCAAGCACUGUGCUAUGCAGUCAUAAUACAAGAGCCGAAUAACAAAGCUAUUUCUGUUAGUAAUUUCAUAAGUUUUCAGCUUCAGUGGAAACUAGAAUACGGUUUUAGUAUGAUACACGCAAGAACAAAAUUUGAAAGCAAUUAUUUUAGUUGGUGUUAUUUUGUAAUUAAAAUUAAAGUUUCAUUUCGAUUGUCGACACAAUAAAGGCAUUCAUGAAACAUCAGCAACAAGACAAAUUUCUAGUUCUGAUCGAAGAAAAACAGCAAAAGAACUUAUUCAUGUGGAAGAACGAAACGAUUUAAUAGUCCUAAAACGUGUUCAAAACUCAAUGAAAUCUCUUAUGCAUGAUCUAGCGUGACCAAGGAGAUUACAACUAUUAUAUGGAGCUCAAAUAUCGAGGUCUACCCAUACUUAAUUGGAUGGUUUAGCAGGACCAGCAUUUAUGGAACUCUGUAUAAUGGAUUGUAAUAUAACAACCUUAUGAUUGACAGGGAAGCUAAGAUAUGGAACAGCGUAUUUGAGAAGGCUGAGAAUGUAGCUGGCAUCGAAAGAGGAAGCAUAAGGGCGACGGUUCUGAUAGAAACACUUCCUGCAGUGUUUCAAAUGAAUGAAAUUCUGUAUGAGCUGAAGGAGCACUCGGUGGGUCUGAACUGUGGGCGAUGGGAUUACAUUUUCAGUUAUGUGAAGAC